AAAAUCAAAGGAAGCACAAUUUGUAGAAACCUGUAUUUGUUCUCUUUUCUGUUUGAACACCUCUACAGAAUAUAUAUGAUAAUAUUAAAAAUUUCUUUGCUGAUUCUUAGCAGAUUUUUAUUUUGGCUAAGUUAAUCAGUAGUUGCACAGUUCAGAGUAAGGUCAUUGCUUUCUCAGUCCUCAGUGCUGCAUGAUUAUUCAUAGGUCAGAAGAAGAAUGCAGAUACAGACAAGCAUAUCUACUCUGACCUACAUGAUAUAAAUACUAUCUUCACAGUCAUAUGAACUAAUCCUGGUAUCGUUUCCCCUUCUGUUUGUUAAUACUCUGAUGUUAAAGUAUAAGCCCUCAUGCCAACAUAAGAAAGAGACAAGAAACAGUCUAAAAUCUCAAAAAAUCUUUUACCAAAUGUAGAAAUGUGAUUCACAAAGUGUUAUAUAUGAUAAAUAGUUAUUAGGUAACUUUUAUUCGGUAUUUUUUAUUAAGUAAAAAGAUGCUGACCUGGGCUGACUCCUAGAGCCCCACCCAGCUGUUCUGUCACUGCCUCUCCUCAGCAGGACAGGGGCAAAAGAGGAUGGAAAAGUUCAUGGGUUGAGGCAAAGAGAGGGAGAUCACUUACCAGCUACCAUCUUGGACAAAACAGACUCAACCUGGGGAAAAUUAGUUUCAUCUAUUAACAAUUGAAAACAGAGUUGGAAGGUGACAAAGACCAAAACUGCUGGGCCUAACCAUGCCCUGUGGUGGAGCUGUUGGAGCCAGCUGGAACCAGCUGGGGCCAGCACAGGGCAGCCCUGCCAUUGCCCUGCACUGACAGCAACACAGACCCACGGGUGCCCAGUACAGAGGUGUGAGGUUCUGAUUGCCAAGAUUAAAAGGAAUAAGCAGUUAUCUAUUACAAUGAAGUCUAACUCCAAGGAAUUCCAUCAAACUAAGGUGAUUUACAUCAGCCCGUGGUAUGACCCAGAGCCUUUCUUCUUAGCUAUAAGGUAGUUUUAUUCAAACUCAAAUUUAUUUUUUUUAAGAUUUUGAAUUAUCCUGCAUUUACUGAAUAGUGGGAAUCUUACCAUUUAAAAUAUAAUUUUAAUUUAAAAUAAGAGCUGAUCUGUUUUAUAGAUCUCUAAACUAUUACAUACUUUUGCUGUUCUCAGUUUUAAAAUCAAGAUCACUCUCUGUAUUGGAGAUUAUUAAAUGCAUAUCAGCUGAUGAUAGUUAUGUAAUUCAUCUGAAAACAGCAAUAAAUAAAAUAUAACCAAAAGCA
This 1255-nucleotide long non-coding RNA is filed under the name Anas platyrhynchos platyrhynchos (common mallard). RNAcentral's name for it is "lncRNA (ENSAPLG00000019876.1)". Lineage: Eukaryota; Metazoa; Chordata; Aves; Anseriformes; Anatidae. The record is from RNAcentral.